RNAcentral lists this ribosomal RNA (478 nucleotides) under uncultured bacterium. Its description in RNAcentral is "partial 16S ribosomal RNA". It matches the Rfam family "Bacterial small subunit ribosomal RNA", at positions 28 to 523 of the family's 1533-position model. The record is from RNAcentral.
GACGAACGCUGGCGGCGUGCUUAACACAUGCAAGUCGAACGGUAAGGCCCUUCGGGGUACACGAGUGGCGAACGGGUGAGUAACACGUGGGUGAUCUGCCCUGCACUUCGGGACAAGCCUGGGAAACUGGGUCUAAUACCGGAUAGGACCACUGCCUGCAUGGGUGGUGGUGGAAAGCUUUUGCGGUGUGGGAUGGGCCCGCGGCCUAUCAGCUUGUUGGUGGGGUGAUGGCCUACCAAGGCGACGACGGGUAGCCGGCCUGAGAGGGUGACCGGCCACACGGGGCCUGAGAUACGGCCCAGACGCCUACGGGGGGCAGCAGUGGGGAAUAUUGCACAAUGGGCGCAAGCCUGAUGCAGCGACGCCGCGUGAGGGAUGACGGCCUUCGGGUUGUAAACCUCUUUCAGCACCGACGAAGCGCAAGUGACGGUAGGUGCAGAAGAAGGACCGGCCAACUACGUGCCAGCAGCCGCAGUAA